UCUGCUAAGUAACGGUGCCUUCCCAGACA
This 29-nucleotide non-coding RNA is filed under the name Homo sapiens (human). The record is from RNAcentral. Lineage: Eukaryota; Metazoa; Chordata; Mammalia; Primates; Hominidae.